This 467-nucleotide ribosomal RNA is filed under the name uncultured bacterium. RNAcentral's name for it is "bacterial SSU rRNA". It matches the Rfam family "Bacterial small subunit ribosomal RNA", at positions 9 to 495 of the family's 1533-position model. The record is from RNAcentral.
GAGUUUGAUCCUGGCUCAGGACGAACGCUGGCGGCGUGCCUAACACAUGCAAGUCGAGCGAUGAAGCCCUUCGGGGUGGAUUAGCGGCGGACGGGUGAGUAACACGUGGGUAACCUGCCUUAUAGAGGGGGAUAGCCUUCCGAAAGGAAGAUUAAUACCGCAUAAUAUGUUUUUAUCGCAUGGUAGAAACAUCAAAGGAGUAAUCCGCUAUAAGAUGGACCCGCGGCGCAUUAGCUAGUUGGUGAGGUAACGGCCCACCAAGGCGACGAUGCGUAGCCGACCUGAGAGGGUGAUCGGCCACAUUGGAACUGAGACACGGUCCAGACUCCUACGGGAGGCAGCAGUGGGGAAUAUUGCGCAAUGGGGGAAACCCUGACGCAGCAACGCCGCGUGAAUGAAGAAGGCCUUAGGGUUGUAAAGUUCUGUUUUCUGGGACGAUAAUGACGGUACCAGAGGAGGAAGCCACG